This 216-nucleotide ribosomal RNA is filed under the name Campeiostachys nutans. RNAcentral's name for it is "Elymus nutans partial small subunit ribosomal RNA". The stretch from base 44 to 216 matches the Rfam family "Eukaryotic small subunit ribosomal RNA", at positions 690 to 864 of the family's 1831-position model. The record is from RNAcentral. Lineage: Eukaryota; Viridiplantae; Streptophyta; Magnoliopsida; Poales; Poaceae.
GGGUUAGCAGGUCGGUCGUGCCAGUGGUAUGAACUGGUCUCGCUGAUCUCUCCCUCUUGACGAACCAUAAUGUCAUUUAUUUGGUGUUGUGGGGAAUCAGGACUGUUACUUUGAAAAAAUUAGAGUGUUUAAAGCAGGCUCACGCUUGAAUACAUUAGCAUGGAAUAAUGAAAUAGGACGUUUGAUGCUAUUUUGUUGGUUUCUAGGAUCGACGUA